AUGUGGAAGAACCAGUUGCCAUAUGAUCACUGAAGUUAAGCAACAUCAGGCCUGGUCAGUACUUAGAUGACUGACCACUUGGUAAUACUAGGUGU
Acanthosepion pharaonis is the source of this 95-nucleotide non-coding RNA. The record is from the annotation of a GenBank genome assembly. Lineage: Eukaryota; Metazoa; Mollusca; Cephalopoda; Sepiida; Sepiidae.